RNAcentral lists this transfer RNA (67 nucleotides) under Phyrella fragilis. RNAcentral's name for it is "tRNA-Ala". It matches the Rfam family "tRNA". From Rfam's summary of the family: Transfer RNA (tRNA) molecules are approximately 80 nucleotides in length. Their secondary structure includes four short double-helical elements and three loops (D, anti-codon, and T loops). Lineage: Eukaryota; Metazoa; Echinodermata; Holothuroidea; Dendrochirotida; Phyllophoridae. The record is from RNAcentral.
GUAAUUUUAGUUUAAGUAAAAACAUUUGCUUUGCAAGCAUAUAAUUUGGGAAUAUCCAAAAAUUACA